UAUGGUCCAGCUGCGUCUUGUCCAGCUAAUACCGCUACGCCCAUUCCUCCUUACUAGACCGCCCUCACAGUAACGCCCCUUUGGCUGUUCAAGUUUCUCAAGUCAGUGACAUGCUGCCGAAUGACAACACAAGCGCCGCACAGGACUUUUUAAAACGACUGAAUGGAUUUCGCUGCAGCGAUCACUCAACUGUCGGUAAGAUUUCAAUAUAAAUGCAUGAAUAUACAUAACGGUUACUUUACGAGUUGACUUUCAGUCGGAGGGCGAACAUUUACCUCGGCCCACCAACUAGCGGUUUUGGCUAAUGUUAUUUAGCUUCAAGGCAAGCUAACAGGCCGCCCUUCCUAAGUUUCAGAUGUUGUGUGUAUAUUUGUCAUAAUGACUUGAUGUAGUAGUGCUAAAAAUAAACCUUUAUAUGUUCUCUUAGUGAACUUCUCAAAAUAUAUGGGCUAUAAUGUAUAAUGUACUUGGGAUGGGUUUAUCGUUACCCAUUGUUUCUGAUGGGGCGUUAAUUGGUGUGGCACCCCGGAAAUCUUCCUCACUUCUGGCAAGGGAUUGGGAAGUAAAUAAAUGCUACUGGAUCGAGACCCCUCAUCUCUCCUGCCUCUUCAAUCAUCCAAAGACUGUUAAGUUUGUUAUUUUAAUGUAAUGGUCGGUUCAUGUCCGUAUUGACUUGACUUGUCAUUGGGUCUGAUUUUAAAUGUGCCAUAUAGUUCAAUGUGGGAGCAGGUUCACACACUAAAUAAGACACUAAGGUCAAGCACAAUCAGAUUUUUUUUUUUUAAACAAUUCUCAGAGCAGAGUAGAGCAGACGUUUCAGGUUACUGCCAUCAGAGAGUAGUGACUUGACCUUAGUGUCUUAAGUGUGCUCCCACAUUGAACUCUACUUUUUGGGUCCAUGCACCUACUUAUUUCUAAACAUCUAAGCGCAAUUAUACCCCUGCCUCCUGAUGUGCCAUAUAACCUGUAUCUCUCCAAUUGUGUGUGUGUGUGUGUGUGAGAGAGAGAGAGAAUGUGUGCACGCAGAUAUAAGAAGUUGGGGUUGAUGAUCCACAUGAUGGUGAUGGACCAGGACAGCUCUGGACCUCCUGACUGGCAGCUCCAUCCUCAACCUCUUCCUGCCCUUCACACAUGUGCAGGCAGAGAGGCAGUUUUCUGAAGGAUGGUUGAUGUCAGUACCAACAUGUUGUGAUGGAGGCUUCCACCUGAGCUGAACACAGAAACUUGCACACAGUGAUGGAAGCAGUCGUUCCUGUUUAGC
This is a long non-coding RNA of Engraulis encrasicolus (European anchovy), 1261 nucleotides long. RefSeq lists it as uncharacterized. The transcript has 4 exons. Lineage: Eukaryota; Metazoa; Chordata; Actinopteri; Clupeiformes; Engraulidae. The record is from RefSeq and is a predicted model, not a curated record.